GGGUUGUGAGGUUAAGUGACUAAGCGUACACGGUGGAUGCCCUGGCAGUCAGAGGCGAUGAAGGACGUGCUAAUCUGCGAUAAGCGUCGGUAAGGUGAUAUGAACCGUCAUAACCGGCGAUUUCCGAAUGGGGAAACCCAGUGUGUUUCG
Molecule: ribosomal RNA, 150 nt
Filed under: Escherichia coli
Lineage: Bacteria; Pseudomonadati; Pseudomonadota; Gammaproteobacteria; Enterobacterales; Enterobacteriaceae
Description: partial 23S ribosomal RNA
Rfam family: Bacterial large subunit ribosomal RNA
Source: RNAcentral